CCUACGGGAGGCAGCAGUGGGGAAUAUUGGACAAUGGGCGAAAGCCUGAUCCAGCAAUGCCGCGUGAGUGAUGAAGGCCUUAGGGUCGUAAAGCUCUUUUACCAGGGAUGAUAAUGACAGUACCUGGAGAAUAAGCUCCGGCUAACUCCGUGCCAGCAGCCGCGGUAAUACGGAGGGAGCUAGCGUUGUUCGGAAUUACUGGGCGUAAAGCGUGCGUAGGCGGUUAUUCAAGUCAGAGGUGAAAGCCCGGGGCUCAACCCCGGAACGGCCUUUGAAACUAGAUAACUAGAAUCUUGGAGAGGUCAGUGGAAUUCCGAGUGUAGAGGUGAAAUUCGUAGAUAUUCGGAAGAACACCAGUGGCGAAGGCGACUGACUGGACAAGUAUUGACGCUGAGGUACGAAAGCGUGGGGAGCAAACAGGAUUAGAUACCCUGGUAGUCCACGCCGUAAACGAUGAUAACUAGCUGUCCGGACACUUGGUGUUUGGGUGGCGCGAGCUACGACAUUAAGUUAUACCGUCCGUCGGGUAGGUACGGUCGCGAGAAUUAAACUAACUAAUAGAAGUUAGACGGCGUGAGACGUGCCGACGGACGACGACGACGGGAGGUAGG
This 611-nucleotide ribosomal RNA is filed under the name uncultured bacterium. Its description in RNAcentral is "bacterial SSU rRNA". The stretch from base 1 to 520 matches the Rfam family "Bacterial small subunit ribosomal RNA", at positions 338 to 873 of the family's 1533-position model. The record is from RNAcentral.